Molecule: long non-coding RNA, 5347 nt
Filed under: Malus domestica (apple)
Lineage: Eukaryota; Viridiplantae; Streptophyta; Magnoliopsida; Rosales; Rosaceae
Description: long non-coding RNA (MDOM_LNC003481)
Source: RNAcentral
CUUCCCACCGUUAGGGAAAGAUAAGAACCUCAACAUUUCUAAAGAACGAAACGAACUGUUGUGAACGAAUUUCAUUUUAUCUCAUUUAGAUCUCCCUACCUACUAAGAUUCAUAUAGCCGAUCCCACUCAGUGACUUGGAUUUUCCAAGUCUCCAACCGAGAAGUUUUCCUCACUCAGGAAAUUAAGGGAACACUACCCCAACCUACAUGCUCCACUCAGAAAGCUUCAACAUACAAGCUUCAACAAAAGAAAAUUCAAAGAACUUAGCGAAGAAGGCUUUGGUGUAUUUAACACAAUACGUUGAAAUAAAGGAAAACUUAUUUAUUGAUAUCCCCGAUAAGCUACAAAUAUGUACAUAUACAUGAGUCAAAAUAACACACAAGAGGGAGCCUUCACAAAGGUUGCUUAGGAGAAGUCUCAGCAGUCGGUAGAGCCCCAGAAAGAGAAGGCACCAGAGGGGGAUCAUUUGGAGCCUCAGUACUGGACAGAACCCUAGAAGGAGGAGGUAUCAGAGGUUGAUCAUUUGGAGCUUCAUUAUGCGGUACAGCCCCAGAAGACGAAGGCAAUAAAUGCCUUUGGAACAAACCCACAAAUCUCUAAUGAUCAAGUAAAACCUGACCAUCAGUUUCCUUCAUCUGGUCAAGCUUCCUCUUCAUGUUUGUAGCAUAGUCAUGUGCGAGCCGUGCAACUGUUUAUUCUCAUGCUUGAGCCCUCUAAUCUCCUGUUUGAGACUCAUCACUUCAGCCGCCAAUGAUUCAACUUGGCGGGUUCGAGCAAAUAGGCGUUGGGCCAUAUUAGACACAGAACCUGCACACUGAACACUGAGAGCCAGCGAAUCCUUAACAGCUAACUCAUCAGACCGUUUGGAAAGUAGUCUGUUAUCUUUGGGAGUGAGAAGGUUCCUGGCCACCACCGCAGCGGUCAUAUCAUUCUUUAUCACGGAAUCCCCAACGCUAAGAGGACCAGUAGGGGAGACGAAGGAUGGGCGCCAUAUGUUGUCUGGAGAAGGCGGGGCUGCCUCUUCAACAAGGUUCAAGUCAAAACGACGGUCGGAGGGGCCAGACAUUUUCAAAGGUGUUGAAGAGAGAAGAGGUCGGACAAAUCAAGAUCUUAGAAGUGCAAGAAUGAAGCUUCUACUGGUGGAGAUUCAAGUGUGCUUUGGAACUUAAUGCCAGCCCUAUAAAAAUCUGCACUCGACGGAGCUUCAGCUUCAAAUCGAAGAGGCGCCUGCUCAGAAAUCGAAGAGGCGUUUGCUUUCUCAAAAGCUGGGCUGCUUAGAGAUCACGAGGGUUGAUCUCAGAAAUCGAAGAGGCGUUUGCUUUCUCAAAAGUUGGGCUGCUUAAAGACCACGAAGGCCGAUCUCAGAAAUCGAAGAGGCGCUCGCUUUCUCAAAAGCUGGGCUCCCCAGAGACCACGAGGGCUGAUCUCAGAAAUCGAAGAGGCACCUACUUUUCCAGCCUUGUCAGCACCUGUCACACGCACACUCAGCUUUGCGGAAAUUAUGGGCAUUCUGUCGAAGACUUCUGGGGAAGUAGAAAACACAUGAAUCUUACUGUUCAAUCACCCACUUCCCACACGCAACAAUAGCUCAUGGGUACCACAGAUAACUUUGCCAAAGUUCUCUGCCAAAGUUGAGCACGUGAAGUUUGCAGCUCCCACUACAUCGCUCUGACCAAGAAGGGUAAAAGAAUAGCAAAGAAACAGCACUAACAAAGUUUAGAGCCAUAAAUUUUGAAGGUCUAGCUACCAUAUUAUUACCCACAAGGGUAAAAGAACAGUACCAUUGCUGGAUAAUUGGAAAGUCCCUGCGUGUCAACCUCUGUGCUUCGUGGCAAGGUAGACUAGCAAACAUGCCCAACCUUUACUCACAUUCGAGAAAACACUCCCAAUAAGAUUGCUUGCUCCAAAAUCGAAGAGGCACCGUCCUCCGAAUCUCGAGAGCCAGACUCCCAACAUGACUACUUUCUUAAAAAUCGAAGAGAGGGUAAAGGAACAGUACCAUUGCUGGAUAAUUGGAAAGUCCCUGUGUGUCAACCUCUGUGCUUCGUGGCAAGGUAGACUAGCAAACAUGCCCAACCUUUACUCACAUUCGAGAAAACACUCCCAACAAGAUUGCUUGCUCCAAAAUCGAAGAGGCACCGUCCUCCGAAUCUCGAGAGCCAGACUCCCAACAUGAUUACUUUCUCAAAAAUCGAAGAGACACUGCUCCCCGAAUCUCGAGAGCCAGACCCCCAGCAUGAUUGCUUUAUCAAAAAUCGAUGAGGCAUCGUUCUCCGAAUCAAUCGAAGAGACGCUCGCUUUCUCAAAAGCUGGGCUGCUCAGAGACCAAGAGGGCCGAUCUCAGAAAUCGAAGAGGCACCUACUUUUCUAGCCUUGUCAGCACCUGUCACACGCACACUCAGCUUUGCAGAAAAUUAUGGGCAUUCUGUCGAAGACUUCUGGUGAAGUAGAAAGCACAUGAAUCUUACUGUUCAAUCACCCACUUCCCACACGCAACAAUAGCUCAUGGGUACCACAGAUAACUUUGCCAAAGUUCUCUGCCAAAGUUGAGCACGUGAAGCUUGCAGCUCCCACUACAUCGCUCUGACUAAGAAAGGUAAAAGAAUAGCAAAAGAGAACAGCACUAACAAAGUUUAGACACAUAAAUUUUGAAGGUCUAGCUACCAUAUUAUUACCCACAAGGGUAAAGGAACAGUACCAUUGCUGGAUAAUUGGAAAGUCCCUGUGUGUCAACCUCUGUGCUUCGUGGCAAGGUAGACUAGCAAACAUGCCCAACCUUUACUCACAUUCGAGAAAACACUCCCAACAAGAUUGCUUGCUCCAAAAUCGAAGAGGCACCGUCCUCCGAAUCUCGAGAGCCAGACUCCCAACAUGACUACUUUCUCAAAAUCGAAGAGAGGGUAAAGGAACAGUACCAUUGCUGGAUAAUUGGAAAGUCCCUGUGUGUCAACCUUUGUGCUUCGUGGCAAGGUAGACUAGCAAACAUGCCCAACCUUUACUCACAUUCGAGACAACACUCCCAACAAGAUUGCUUGCUCCAAAAUCGAAGAGGCACCACCGCCUUCCGAAUCUCGAGAGCCAGACUCCCAACAUGAUUACUUCCUCAAAAAUCGAAGAGACACUGCUCUCCGAAUCUCGAGAGCCAGACCCCCAGCAUGAUUGCUUUCUCAAAAAUCGAAGAGGCAUCGUUCUCCGAAUCUCGAGAGCCAGAUACCACAGACCACUUUUUCAAAAGUGCUCUGACAGAGUUAAAACAUGUGAAACUGGCAGCUCCCACUACUGUGCUAUGACCAAGCAGGGUAAAGGAAUAGCAUUACUACUUGUUGUUAGGGAGACUCCUAUAUAUGUCGACCUUCAUCCCCAACGGACAGGCAGACCUGCAAAAAUGCUCAACCCUUCAUCAUAUCUGAGAGGGCACUCCCAACGAAGCCUUUCGAAAUAUUCAGCUUUCUUUCCCCCCGAUAAUACCUCUGCAAACAAGCUAUACUAGAGCAAGAAUAUCUCAUAUCAUCAGGGUUAAAAGCAAGAGUAUCCCAUAUCAUGCUUUUUUUCCCUGUCUUUUCCUUUGGCCUUGUUUUUACCUGCAAGACAAGGAGAAAGAGAGCAAUCAGUCAGCACUUGGAAUCAAGCUUCCAGCCAGGAACUGACUGCUUGGAACCCCUUACCUGAUUACUUACCUGGCAUUGCUCUCGAGUACUCAUCUUCAACAUCUUAUGUUUCCAAGGAAGAUUCCGCAUCUGCUUGAGGAACAGAUAGGGCAAGUGCGAAGGAUACAAGGAAGCAUGUGGAGACAAGCGUAACAGCACACGUGCCGAUACAUCCAUUACUCUGUCAAAAGCAAAAGUAUCCCAUAUCAGCAGGGUGGAACGUACUCUAGAUUUGAUGGACUUGUUUUGACCCUCAAAUUCUUCAGUCGGCCUUAUACUCUGGAGGAAACCAGACAACCCUCCAGCUCAGUUCAAGAAUAAGCCUGUGGAAAGUUACUUCUUCAAAAGCAAAAGUAUCUCAUAUCAUCUCUUCUCAUUUUUCUUCUCUUUAUCCUUCAUGCUGCUGCAAGAUGAGGAGAAGGUGAACAAUCAGUCGGAGCUCUGAUUGCUUACCUUGUCUGUCACCUCUUUCAGCAGACCCCCUAGCUCGGCGACUUGGGGGACUCCUACUACAUGGUUUGUAUCGCGCUUGACCAAGCCUGAAACUACAAGUAAGCUUCAAGUGAAAUUGAUACAUUACCUUGUGCAUCUCCACCAGUUAAAGAUACCACCCCUGGAUGGAGGAAGAGUACUUCCAGAGAAGAUGCCACAUCUACCUAUGAGACAGAUAAGGCAAGUCAAGACGACACCACACUCCGAUACUUAGAAGUUUCGUGAUUACGAGAGAUCAUUCUCCCACAAUAUUUCCUAAUGUCAUUUGUACUAAAUCAUUCACUUGUACUCACUAAAGGAGAGCUUGAACCUAUGUACUUGUGUAAACCCUUCACAAUUAAUGAGAACUCUUCUAUUCCGUGGACGUAGCCAAUCUGGGUGAACCACGUACAUCUUGUGUUUGCUUUCCUAUCUCUAUCCAUUUAUAUACGUAUCCACACUAAUGACCGGAGCAAUCUAGCGAAGAUCACAAAAAGCGACCGUUUUCGCUACCUAGGAUCUAUCUUGCAAGAGAACGGAGAAUUAGAUGGAGAUCUCAACCAUAGAAUACGAGCUGGAUGGAUGAAGUGUAAGAGUGCAUCCGGCGUGUUGUGUGACCGUCGUAGGCCACUGAAGCUCAAGGGAAAAUUUUAUAGGACGGCAAUAAGGCCGCGAUGUUGUAUGGCACAGAAUGUUGGGCGGUGAAGCAUCAACACACGUACACAAAAUGGGUGUAGCGGAGAUGAGGAUGCUUCGUGGGAUGUGUGGGCACACACGAGAAAGGAUAAGAUUGGGAAUGAGAGGAUAUCCGAGGUAAAGUAGGAGUAGCCGAAAUUGUAGGAAAGAUGAGAGAAAAUCGGCUCCGGUGAUUUGGACAUGUGCAAAGAAGGCCGACUGACGCUCCGGUUCGAAGAUGUGACUACGGGACAGAGGUUCAGGGCCGAAGGGGUAGAGGAAGACCUAGGAAAACUUUGGAAGAGACUCUAAGAAAAGACUUAGAGUACUUGGAUCUAACGGAGGACAUGACACAAAACCGAGCGCAAUGGCGUUCUAGGAUUCAUAUAGCCGACCCCACUUAGUGGGAAAAGGCUUUGUUGUUGUUGUUGUUGUAGAUCUCCCUACCUAAGCAUGGAAAUUUUUUCUGAAAAGCCCAAACCAAACUGAAAAAAUCCCAAUCUCAUACCGAAAAAUUCUCAAACCAAUAGUACAGAAACUUUCCUUACCUGAG